This 468-nucleotide ribosomal RNA is filed under the name uncultured bacterium. Its description in RNAcentral is "partial 16S ribosomal RNA". It matches the Rfam family "Bacterial small subunit ribosomal RNA", at positions 28 to 507 of the family's 1533-position model. The record is from RNAcentral.
GAUGAACGCUGGCGGCGUGCUUAACACAUGCAAGUCGAACGGUGAAGGCGGAGCUUGCUCUGCUGGAUCAGUGGCGAACGGGUGAGUAACACGUGAGCAAUCUGCCCCUGACUCUGGGAUAAGCGCUGGAAACGGCGUCUAAUACUGGAUACGAGCUGCGAAGGCAUCUUCAGCAGCUGGAAAGAAUUUCGGUCAGGGAUGAGCUCGCGGCCUAUCAGCUUGUUGGUGAGGUAAUGGCUCACCAAGGCGUCGACGGGUAGCCGGCCUGAGAGGGUGACCGGCCACACUGGGACUGAGACACGGACCAGACUCCUACGGGAGGCAGCAGUGGGGAAUAUUGCACAAUGGGCGAGAGCCUGAUGCAGCAACGCCGCGUGAGGGACGACGGCCUUCGGGUUGUAAACCUCUUUUAGCAGGGAAGAAGCGAAAGUGACGGUACCUGAAGAAAAAGCGCCGGCUAACUACGUG